Molecule: ribosomal RNA, 274 nt
Filed under: uncultured bacterium
Lineage: Bacteria
Description: partial 16S ribosomal RNA
Rfam family: Bacterial small subunit ribosomal RNA
Source: RNAcentral
AUACGGAGGGUGCGAGCGUUAAUCGGAAUUACUGGGCGUAAAGCGUGCGUAGGCGGUUUGCUAAGUCAGAUGUGAAAGCCCCGGGCUUAACCUGGGAACUGCAUUUGAUACUGGCAGACUAGAGUAUGAUAGAGGGGGGUAGAAUUCCUGGUGUAGCGGUGAAAUGCGUAGAUAUCAGGAGGAAUACCAGUGGCGAAGGCGGCCCCCUGGAUCAAUUCUGACGCUGAGGUACGAAAGCGUGGGGAGCGAACAGGAUUAGAUACCCUAGUAGUCC